GGAACCAAGCUUGGUAAAGAUCAAAUCUAGUAUUUAUAAACAAACUUUUGACUUGGCAUGAUUUUACAUCACAGCACUGUAUCUGAUACUAGAGGGUAUAAUGAAAUGCAGAUUUGCGAGAUGACAAGCAGUAUUUGAUCGAUCAUCCUAGCGCCACACCAAUCACAACUGGUCAGGCAAGUCAUUUCCUUCUCUUGUUGUACUUGAACAAAGCAAGUAUUUGUCAAUUUCAUGAAGUAAACAGUAGCAAUUUUCAAUACUGAGCAGGGAGAAGAACUAAAGAAGAUGAUUGGUGCU
RNAcentral lists this unclassified non-coding RNA (297 nucleotides) under Hevea brasiliensis (rubber tree). The record is from RNAcentral. Lineage: Eukaryota; Viridiplantae; Streptophyta; Magnoliopsida; Malpighiales; Euphorbiaceae.